GACGAACGCUGGCGGCGUGCUUAACACAUGCAAGUCGAACGAAGAGCGAUGGAAGCUUGCUUCUAUCAAUCUUAGUGGCGAACGGGUGAGUAACGCGUAAUCAACCUGCCCUUCAGAGGGGGACAACAGUUGGAAACGACUGCUAAUACCGCAUACGAUCUGACCUCGGCAUCGAGGAUAGAUGAAAGGUGGCCUCUACAUGUAAGCUAUCACUGAAGGAGGGGAUUGCGUCUGAUUAGCUAGUUGGAGGGGUAACGGCCCACCAAGGCGAUGAUCAGUAGCCGGUCUGAGAGGAUGAACGGCCACAUUGGGACUGAGACACGGCCCAGACUCCUACGGGAGGCAGCAGUGGGGAAUCUUCCGCAAUGGACGAAAGCCUGACGGAGCAACGCCGCGUGAGUGAUGACGGCCUUCGGGUUGUAAAGCUCUGUUAAUCGGGACGAAAGGCCUUUUUGCGAAUAGUGAGAAGGAUUGACGGUACCGGAAUAGAAAGCCACGGCUAACUACGUG
RNAcentral lists this ribosomal RNA (510 nucleotides) under uncultured bacterium. Its description in RNAcentral is "partial 16S ribosomal RNA". It matches the Rfam family "Bacterial small subunit ribosomal RNA", at positions 28 to 507 of the family's 1533-position model. The record is from RNAcentral.